GUGCUAUUCUAUUGGAUUAUGAUGGUACUGUGAUUCCACAAACAUCCAUCAGCAAGACCCCGAAUUCUCAGGCAAUUGCCAUUCUGAAUAGCUUGUGCAGAGACCCAAACAAUGUUGUGUUUCUUGUUAGUGGCAGAUCAAAAGACACACUCAUUGAGUGGUUUUCGACUUGCGAUAAGCUAGUGAUCGCAGCUGAGCAUGGCUACUUUUUGAGGGAAAAACAUGGUAUGGAAUGGGAAACAUGUGUGCCGGUGCCAGACUUCGAUUGGAAAAAUAUCGCAGA
This 283-nucleotide unclassified non-coding RNA is filed under the name Hevea brasiliensis (rubber tree). The record is from RNAcentral. Lineage: Eukaryota; Viridiplantae; Streptophyta; Magnoliopsida; Malpighiales; Euphorbiaceae.